UGACCGCUGGCGGCGUGCCUAAUACAUGCAAAUCGAGCGAACAGAUGAGGAGCUUGCUCCUCUGACGUUAGCGGCGGACGGGUGAGUAACACGUGGAUAACCUACCUAUAAGACUGGGAUAACUUCGGGAAACCGGAGCUAAUACCGGAUAAUAUAUUGAACCGCAUGGUUCAAUAGUGAAAGACGGUUUUGCUGUCACUUAUAGAUGGAUCCGCGCCGCAUUAGCUAGUUGGUAAGGUAACGGCUUACCAAGGCAACGAUGCGUAGCCGACCUGAGAGGGUGAUCGGCCACACUGGAACUGAGACACGGUCCAGACUCCUACGGGAGGCAGCAGUAGGGAAUCUUCCGCAAUGGGCGAAAGCCUGACGGAGCAACGCCGCGUGAGUGAUGAAGGUCUUCGGAUCGUAAAACUCUGUUAUUAGGGAAGAACAAAUGUGUAAGUAACUAUGCACGUCUUGACGGUACCUAAUCAGAAAGCCACGGCUAACUACGUG
RNAcentral lists this ribosomal RNA (495 nucleotides) under uncultured bacterium. Its description in RNAcentral is "partial 16S ribosomal RNA". It matches the Rfam family "Bacterial small subunit ribosomal RNA", at positions 30 to 507 of the family's 1533-position model. The record is from RNAcentral.